This 465-nucleotide ribosomal RNA is filed under the name uncultured bacterium. Its description in RNAcentral is "bacterial SSU rRNA". It matches the Rfam family "Bacterial small subunit ribosomal RNA", at positions 338 to 795 of the family's 1533-position model. The record is from RNAcentral.
CCUACGGGACGCACCAGUAGGGAAUCUUCGGCAACGGACGAAAGUCUGACCGAGCAACGCCGCGUGAGUGAAGAAGGUUUUCGGAUCGUAAAACUCUGUUGUUAGAGAAGAACAAGUAGGAGAGUAACUGCUCUUACCUUGACGGUAUCUAACCAGAAAGCCACGGCUAACUACGUGCCAGCAGCCGCGGUAAUACGUAGGUGGCAAGCGUUGUCCGGAUUUAUUGGGCGUAAAGCGAGCGCAGGCGGUCUUUUAAGUCUGAUGUGAAAGCCCUCGGCUCAACCGAGGAAGGUCAUUGGAAACUGGAGGACUUGAGUGCAGAAGAGGAGAGUGGGAUUCCAUGUGUAGCGGUGAAAUGCGUAGAUAUAUGGAAGAACACCAGUGGCGAAGGCGACUCUCUGGUCUGUAACUGACGCUGAGGCUCGAAAGCGUGGGGAGCAGACAGGAUUAGAUACCCCAGUAGUC